Molecule: ribosomal RNA, 253 nt
Filed under: uncultured bacterium
Lineage: Bacteria
Description: partial 16S ribosomal RNA
Rfam family: Bacterial small subunit ribosomal RNA
Source: RNAcentral
UACAGAGGGUGCAGGCGUUAAUCGGAAUUACUGGGCGUAAAGCGCGCGUAGGUGGUUUGUUAAGUUGGAUGUGAAAGCCCCGGGCUCAACCUGGGAACUGCAUCCAAAACUGGCAAGCUAGAGUACGGUAGAGGGUGGUGGAAUUUCCUGUGUAGCGGUGAAAUGCGUAGAUAUAGGAAGGAACACCAGUGGCGAAGGCGACCACCUGGACUGAUACUGACACUGAGGUGCGAAAGCGUGGGGAGCAAACAGG